This 253-nucleotide ribosomal RNA is filed under the name uncultured bacterium. RNAcentral describes it as "partial 16S ribosomal RNA". It matches the Rfam family "Bacterial small subunit ribosomal RNA", at positions 524 to 776 of the family's 1533-position model. The record is from RNAcentral.
UACGUAGGGGGCAAGCGUUGUCCGGAUUUAUUGGGCGUAAAGAGCGUGUAGGCGGUUAUACAGGUCCGCUGUGAAAACUGGAGGCUUGACCUCCAGACGUCGGUGGAAACCGUAUGACUAGAGUCCGGAAGAGGAGAGUGGAAUUCCUGGUGUAGCGGUGAAAUGCGUAGAUAUCUGGAGGAACACCGGUGGCGAAGGCGACAUCCUGGACCGGUAUUGACGCUGAGGCGCGAAAGCCAGGGGAGCAAACGGG